Molecule: ribosomal RNA, 374 nt
Filed under: uncultured organism
Description: bacterial SSU rRNA
Rfam family: Bacterial small subunit ribosomal RNA
Source: RNAcentral
CGUAGGGGGCGAGCGUUGUCCGGAUUUAUUGGGCGUAAAGAGCUCGUAGGCGGCUCAGAAAGUCGGGUGUGAAACCUCCAGGCUCAACCUGGAGACGCCACCUGAUACUGCUGUGGCUAGAGUCCGGUAGGGGAACACGGAAUACCCGGUGUAGCGGUGAAAUGCUUAGAUAUCGGGUGGAACACCAGUGGCGAAGGCGGUGUUCUGGGCCGGAACUGACGCUGAGGAGCGAAAGCGUGGGUAGCAAACAGGAUUAGAUACCCUGGUAGUCCACGCCGUAAACGUUGGGCACUAGGUGUGGGACCCUAUCGACGGGAUCCGUGCCGUAGCUAACGCAUUAAGUGCCCCGCCUGGGGAGUACGGCCGCAAGGCUA